AUUGAACGCUGGCGGCAUGCUUUACACAUGCAAGUCGAACGGCAGCGCGGGGCAACCUGGCGGCGAGUGGCGAACGGGUGAGUAAUAUAUCGGAACGUACCCAAGAGUGGGGGAUAACGUAGCGAAAGUUACGCUAAUACCGCAUACGAUCUAAGGAUGAAAGUGGGGGACCGCAAGGCCUCAUGCUCCUGGAGCGGCCGAUAUCUGAUUAGCUAGUUGGUGAGGUAAAGGCUCACCAAGCGACGAUCAGUAGCUGUCUGAGAGGACGACCAGCCACACUGGGACUGAGACACGGCCCAGACUCCUACGGGAGGCAGCAGUGGGGAAUUUUGGACAAUGGGCGAAAGCCUGAUCCAGCAAUGCCGCGUGAGUGAAGAAGG
RNAcentral lists this ribosomal RNA (380 nucleotides) under uncultured bacterium. RNAcentral describes it as "bacterial SSU rRNA". It matches the Rfam family "Bacterial small subunit ribosomal RNA", at positions 30 to 414 of the family's 1533-position model. The record is from RNAcentral.